GAAGAAGGGAACAAAUCAGUUUAACACAUGCUUCAAAGGAGUGAAGAAAGACCUAAAGUGGACAGGGACCUAGAAAUAAAUGACUCUACAUAAUACAUAUAGGAUAAUUUUAUAUUCAAAACAAGUGAGCAUUGGCUGGUUUGCAGAGUGUGAUCAAUGGAAUAGCUGCAGUUGGAAUAAAUAAGACUCAGGCGAACACUUGAUAGGUUCUAUAACUGAAAUCGCUCUAUCCCGGGCCAGAUUAAAUAUCAUUCGACACAAAACCAACUUCCAAGACAGAAACCAGAGUCUAGAGUCGUGUAAAGAGGCCCCGAGAGGGACUUCUGUGUGAACGAUACAAUCAAGUAAUUCUAGCGAUCGCCACGAAGCCAUGAUUUAACCAGGUUAAAGAUACGAGAAAACCUGGUACGAACUGGAAAAUUAAUUUUUUUAAGGGUCAUUCUAGCGACCAGAAACGGUAACACUCCUAAUGGGAAAAAAUCAGCUUGCCAUACAAAAGAAACCGAGAAAUACAAUAGGAAUGGUAUACGGCUGACCGCUUAGGAGAGACGGCCUAUAGGCCCUGUAGAAACAACAACGCUAUGUGCAUAGGACUCCACAAUGAAACUCAUAUCAAGGAAAUAAAUUAACAUGCUUAAUCUCAAUAGUGUAAGAACUACACGCCGAUGAAAAACAAAGAAACAACGACACAAGUGUAUAAAAAAAGAUUGUAGAUGCCCUAGACUUGUUGAAAUGGGAGUUGGUCGACGAAUUCAGUGAGGAACCUUGAACCAAGGCGAGGAGACGACUAAAAAGAUGGAAGAAAUAACAAGUGAAUUUACGAGACCCAAGAAUUUCAGCCGAAAUCUCCCAGAAAAACUUGUUACAUAGUCCAAAUGAUAUGCAAUAAACUGAGUAUAAUUUUCA
Molecule: long non-coding RNA, 906 nt
Organism: Orbicella faveolata
Lineage: Eukaryota; Metazoa; Cnidaria; Anthozoa; Scleractinia; Merulinidae
Source: RefSeq, a predicted model, not a curated record